RNA transcript from Cannabis sativa, 5559 nucleotides. RefSeq lists it as uncharacterized. NCBI's taxonomy places the organism in Eukaryota, Viridiplantae, Streptophyta, Magnoliopsida, Rosales, Cannabaceae. The record is from RefSeq and is a predicted model, not a curated record. The transcript is spliced from 15 exons.
GUAAAAUUAUGAGAUGAAAAUGAAAAAAAUAAAAAAAAAAGAGGAAUAAUCUUGGCUGACACGUGUUCAUUGGGUAGACUUCGUCUUUACUUAAUUCACUUUCUCACUUAUGAUUUCUCUCGUUAACGAAACUCAUCCCCGAUACUACAAGGAAGAAGAGAACCCUAACCCUAGAUUUCGUCUAUCAAGAAGAUCAUGGCCAGCGAAGCCCAGGGCUCGCACAAGCACCGUCGGUCGUCCUCUUCCUCCGACGAGGAGAAGUCUUUGAAGCGUCACAAGCAUCGCCACCAUCACCGCAGCCACCACCGCCAUCGCCACAGCAGCCGAAAGCGCGGAGAGGAGACAAAAUCUGCCGUCGAUGAUGAUAGAAUUCCUCUUACUCCUCCCGUUGUGAUUGAGAAUUCCCGGUCCGAUGACGAUGUGGAAGAAGGGGAAAUUCUUGAUGAGGAGGGAGGUCGCACUGGCGCUGUUGAUGGAGUUGCGGAGAAGACAGCGGAGUCUGAUGUUGAGUCUGGUGAAAUUGAAGCCGUCGGAUAUCAAUCGGAUAAACGAAAUCUGGGAUAUGACAAUGACAAUGGCUCUCCUUAUUCUGAAGCAAGUAUGCUAGUAAAAGAGGCUAAAGGGAGCAUUGCUAGAAAUUCUAGAUCAUCGAAGGAUCAGGCUGCUGACAAGUUGGGUCCUAUGUUACGGGGAAAAGUAGAUGAAACUCAUCGAAGUAAGGCUAGUUUGCAUAGAGAUUUGACUAGUGAUCCUCGAGAUGAUCCUAGAGAUGAAUUAGUUGCCACACGUAAGUCGGGCAAUGGUGUUAAUGGAGCAUUGAAGUCCCGGUCUCAUAAAGAGGAAAGUAGACGAGGUAGAGAAUCUGGGUCCCCUUUGAAAAGGAGUGAUGAGAAAAAAGUAUUCUAUGAUGGUGUGAAUAUGGAUGUUGACCGAAAUAGCAAGACCAUGAAGAAUUCACCUUCACAUGAUAGCUGCCGUGAUGAAAUAUAUCGUAGAGGAAGAUCAAGGUCAUAUGACCGUGGAAGAGAGAGGUCUCGUUCUCGUAGUGUAAUGGAAGAGGAUGCCCUCUCUAAAUGGAGACACACUGAUAAAAGAGAUACUGCGUACACUUAUAAUGGUGAGAGGACUGGUCGAGGUCAAGAUGUUAAAGAACUUGAGAGAGAUGAUGACAGGGAACAAAGUACAGGUUAUAGUAGCAGAUAUGUUGGAGUGGAUGACAGGCGUCACAGCCGAGAGAGGAAGACUAGAGAGGGGAGUAGGGAGAGGGAGGUUGAAAGAGAUCGAAAAAGGGAGAAAGAAAGGGCAAGGAGCAGAGACAGAGAGAUAGACAGGGAUCGAAGAAGAGAGAAAGAACGAGAAAGAAAUAGAGAUGGGGACUUGGAAAGGGAUAGGAGAAGGGAUAGGGGAAGAGAUAGAAGUAGAGACAGAGACAUGGAGAGGGAAAAGCGAAGAGAAAGAGAUAGGAGCGGAAUUGUUGAUAGAGGUAGAGAUAGUGAGAGGGAAAGAGACAGGUACACUGAUAGGAUUAUGGAGCGGAAUCAGGAGAAGCGCGAUGAUGGGAAUAGAGAUAAGGGCAGGGACAAAUAUGAAAGUUUUGAAGAAAAUUAUGGUGAACGGGAUAGAUACAGACAUUCCAGGAGCUCUAGACAUGAUGAAAAGGAUUAUAUAAAAGACAAAGUUGAGAAAGUUGAUUCAGAAAUGGCCAACAGUUUAAAAAAUGGAGGUAACAACUCAUUUAAGAGAGAUGAAGAUGGACAAGACGACUAUGAAGAUGAGACCACACUGCAACUUGCUGAAGAAGAGGAAGAUCUCAACAGAAUUAAGGAGGAGAGUCGGAGACGAAGGCAAGCAAUCUUAGAAAAGUACAAGAUUCAGCCAUUACAGCAGCAAACUGAGUUGAAGGCUGAAACAGAUGUGGAGAAAGAUAAAGAGGCUGCAGAUCAUCCAGGUCCAUCAACAGCCCUUUCCAACAUUCGUCAAGAAAGUGUGGAUGGUAGAGCUAAUGGCACUGAUAUCUUUGGUGCUGAACUGUCAUUUACUCUGGGGAAAUCACCUCCCAAUGGAGUUGUUACAUCUGGUGGCAACUUUGUUGAUGGGGAACUUGGAGAGGGUUCUCCAAAGAGUGAGAGAUCAGAUGGAAUGUUUUGUGACGAUAUUUUCGGCGAGACGCCAACUGGAGUUCGAAAAACUGGCAAAGGUGGUGUGCGGGUUGAAAGGAGUGGUCUUCAUGAUAAUUGGGAUGAUGCUGAGGGAUACUACAGCUACAGAUUUGGAGAAUUACUUGAUGGUAGAUAUGAGAUUACUGCAGCCCAUGGCAAAGGUGUCUUUUCAACUGUAGUUAGAGCAAAAAAUGCUAAGGCUAGUAAUGGUGAACCAGAAGAAGUGGCAAUAAAAAUAAUACGCAGUAAUGAUACUAUGUACAAGGCUGGUCUGACAGAGCUGGUCAUAUUAAAGAAAUUAGUUGGUCAAGAUCCAGAUAAUAAGCGUCAUUGUGUUCGUUUUUUAUCAAAUUUCAAAUACCGAAAUCAUCUUUGUCUAGUUUUUGAAUCUCUUCAUAUGAAUCUGCGUGAGGUUUUAAAGAAGUUUGGACGCAAUAUUGGUCUCAAGCUGACUGCUGUUAGAGCCUAUGCCAAGCAGCUUUUUAUUGCUUUGAAGCAUCUAAAAAAUUGUGGUGUUCUUCAUUGUGAUAUCAAACCUGACAAUAUGCUGGUAAAUGAAGCAAAAAAUGUGCUGAAACUUUGUGAUUUUGGUAAUGCUAUGUUUGCUGGCAAAAAUGAAAUCACACCUUACCUUGUUAGCCGUUUUUAUCGUGCUCCUGAAAUUAUUCUUGGGCUGCCUUAUGAUCAUCCACUGGAUAUCUGGUCUGUAGGAUGCUGUUUAUAUGAGCUUUAUACAGGAAAGGUUCUUUUUCCAGGUGCUACAAAUAAUGACAUGCUACGACUUCACAUGGAAUUGAAAGGCCCUUUUCCGAAAAAGAUGCUACGGAAGGGAGGUUUUACUGAUCAACAUUUUGAUCAAGAUCUGAACUUUCAUGCUACAGAAGAGGAUCCCGUUACCAAAAAGACUAUCAAGCGAUUGAUUCUCAACAUAAAGCCAAAAGAUAUUGGGUCAAUCAUUUUGGGUUCUCCUGGUGAGGAUCCAAAGAUGUUGGCCGACUUUAAAGAUCUUCUUGAUAAAAUGUUUGUUUUGGAUCCAGAUAAGAGGUUGACUGUGUCACAGGCACUGAGCCAUCCAUUCAUCACUGGCAAGUGAAACCUGUUGCUGAUUUUCUCACUCAAGAUUCCUGUUCAGCUAGAUAUUUGUUGAUUAUGUCCUAAUUUAUGUUCAUAUCUAAUCAUUGGACAUUAUGUCUUCUCUAUGAUGGCAUGAGAGCUUGACACAGCUUGGGAUUACUGAAGUCAAAACGGUUGAUGUUUGGUUGAGGAGUACUCAUUUUGGCUGGUUCUUUCAGUGGAGUGUACUGUUUCUAUUGAUGUCUUCUGCUGCUUUUGGGCAACCCUUCAGUCCUUAGAUGCUUUAAAGAAGGCACGUGCAUUGGAGGCGUGUGGCUGCUGCAAGGAUGUUUGAGUUUAGUGGAUAUGGCCCCAUGUGCGUGCAACACUUUGUAAGUUUUUCAACCAUAAUUCUUCAUUCAUUAUUUUGAAUUGAAGUGUGAUGUGAAGUAGCAUAGAAAAGGUUCUUAAGUAUAUCCUACUGUGUGUAAUAGAUUUUAUUAUCGAUCUAGCAUGAGGAGAUAUAGAAAGCUAAGGUUUACAAACUGUGUAUUCAAUUUUUAGUAGGUGAUUUGGUGAGUAGAGAAAACCAGGAGGGAUAGAUAGAGUGGGUCAAACUCUUGGUUUACAUAUUUGAUCUUCAUAUAGACCUAUCUAGCAAUAUGUAUUUCUUUUUGCCUAUUAAGCUUCUAGGUUGCUCCCAGGGUAUUGGUGUAGCGGCAAGUCCUUGAGUUAGGUCUGACAUAGGCAGACUCCCAAGGUUAGAACCCCGGCAACUACAAAAAAUGUUCAGUUGUCUCCUAGGACCUUGGAUGUGUUGGGCCUGCUGGGUAUCCUUAUUUUUUUUUUUUGAAAAAAAGAGAGCCUACUAGGUUUACUCCCAUGGCGUCUGGGAUUCGAUUUAUUAUACGGGACCUACAUAGCAAUGAGCAACUUUUUAUAAAUUAAAAAACAAAAUUAGUGUUCAACUGAUCAUCAAGUAUUAAGAAAGGUAAGUAACUCAUGUAUUAUUCUUUUUAAAAAAGGGGAAACUCAUGUAUUAUUUAAGCAAGAUUGACAUAAACAUACAAAAUAAGUGAGCAGUGAGUCAUUUCUGUGGUUGUCAAUAGAUUAUGUACUUUACUGAGCAGGUUUUUUUUAUUUUUCUUUUUUGCUAUUUAAAUGAAACCUAAGUUGCCAAGUGUUUUUUUUUCUCAUCCCGUUGAAGGUAUAGGUAUUAGAGGGAGAUAUAAAUUAGAUGUGGUUAUAUGAUCAAAUCCGCCUUUUUAAGUGAAUAGCAUUGUAGUGAUUUCAUUUUAUCAAAUAAUCAGAAAAGAAUUUUAGCCUUGAAAAUAAAUAAUUAAGAAUCAGAAAUCUGACUUGAAGCUGAGUUACAUAGCUGAUGUAUAUAUUGUUAGUGGCUGCUAGGCUGGAUUUAUCUGCUGACUAUGAUCUUUACAAUUUAUAAUAAAAGAUGAUCUUGGGUGGAAAAGUUCUUAGGAAUUCAACAUUUAAGUGCAUUUCUUAAAGGUCGUGUAAUGCGGAGUCUCCCUUCUUUCUUUUAUGUGAUGAGUUUUUGUAGAUAUGGAUGUUCGUGUUUGAAAUUAUCGUUUUGCUGCUUACAUUUCUCAAAAUAAGUGACUAAGAAAUUCAUUCUUCAUAUGGGCUUGGGAAACUGGAAUCCCUCGUUUGUUUUCUAGAUGCACUUAAUAGGCUGGACUUAGUUUAGUAUAAUUUAGUUUUUAUUUCUUUUUCGAAAUUUGCUCGAGUUUGCCCCUUUUCUUUAAUGUGUACUUUUAUAAUAUAUGAAAGGAAAUAUGGUUAUAAGGCCAUCAUUCAUCACUAUUUUUUUUUUUCAAUUCUAACUACAAAACUAAAAAUUACACUAAAAUUUUGUUUAAUUAUUGUAUUAUUUUAUUAAUAUAAUAAGAAUAUUUUAAUAUUAAAUAUUUAUCAAAUCUAAUAAGUUAUAUUACUAAGUAUUAAAAUAUAUUAUUUAAUUAUUAAAAAAAUAUAUACCGUAGUCUAGACACGGUAGAGUUUUAUGAAAAUAGGUUGGCUUUCCCAGUGUGGAGCAUUUUGAGGGAAAAAUAACAACAUAUAGGUUUUUGCCGCCCCAUUGCAGAUGGCCUGUAAAGAGAGAUUUUAUUAGAUCUUGUAUUUUAAUACGUAUAUUGGUAUUUUGUCUUAAUUCGAAGUACUCUUAUUAUUUUAAUCAAUACCAAUGAUAAAUCAAAUUUCAGGUGGAGCGUAGUUACAAUUUUGGUACAAAAUAUUUCGAUUAGUUCUUUGAAAUAUAUUUUUUUCCUUAUACUUAACAAAAUUGUAAAUAAAUAAUAUGGUACUAAUUAUUAUUAUAUUUAUUUAU